This 253-nucleotide ribosomal RNA is filed under the name uncultured bacterium. Its description in RNAcentral is "partial 16S ribosomal RNA". It matches the Rfam family "Bacterial small subunit ribosomal RNA", at positions 524 to 776 of the family's 1533-position model. The record is from RNAcentral.
UACGAAGGGGGCUAGCGUUGCUCGGAAUCACUGGGCGUAAAGCGCACGUAGGCGGCUUUCUAAGUCAGGGGUGAAAUCCUGGAGCUCAACUCCAGAACUGCCUUUGAUACUGGAAAGCUUGAGUUCGGGAGAGGUGAGUGGAACUGCGAGUGUAGAGGUGAAAUUCGUAGAUAUUCGGAAGAACACCAGUGGCGAAGGCGACUUACUGGACACAUACUGACGCUGAGGUGCGAAAGCGUGGGGAGCAAACAGG